Molecule: ribosomal RNA, 464 nt
Filed under: uncultured bacterium
Lineage: Bacteria
Description: partial 16S ribosomal RNA
Rfam family: Bacterial small subunit ribosomal RNA
Source: RNAcentral
CUACGGGGUGCUCCAGUGGGGAAUAUUGGACAAUGGGGGAAACCCUGAUCCAGCAAUGCCGCGUGUGUGAAGAAGGCCUGCGGGUUGUAAAGCACUUUCGGUUGGGAGGACUGCUUCUAGCACUAAUAUUGUUGGAAGUUGACGUUACCUUCAGAAGAAGCACCGGCUAACUCCGUGCCAGCAGCCACGGUAAUACGGAGGGUGCAAGCGUUAAUCGGAAUUACUGGGCGUAAAGCGCGCGUAGGCGGCUCGUCAGUCGGGUGUGAAAGCCCCGGGCUUAACCUGGGAACUGCAUCCGAUACUGUCUAGCUUGAGUACAGGAGAGGAGAGUGGAAUUCCACAUGUAGCGGUGAAAUGCGUAGAUAUGUGGAGGAACACCAAUGGCGAAGGCAGCUCUCUGGCCUGAUACUGACGCUGAGGUGCGAAAGCGUGGGGAGCAAACAGGAUUAGAUACCCUAGUAGUC